CAGCUGUUCCUCCCCUUAUUCCCAUCGGCAGGGCCCAAGCUCAGGAGCUCUGGGCAGUAAGCACCCAGGCUCAGUGGUCCCUCCUGAAAGGGAUCAGAAGGGAGGGACAGUGUUGGCAUGAUACACUGGCAGCCCCGGCCCCAGGAGAUGAGUCAGCCAGGGUGGAGGAGUCAGGGAUAGCCAUGGGGCCUUUUGGGGGGAGACUGGCUAGCAGCGCUGCUCCCUACAGCUGCUCCUGGAACUUGGGCUGGGAGCCUCCCCCAACCCUCAGCCUUGCCUAGGCCUGAUCUCUUGGAGUGCCACAGUGGAACCAUCACAGAAGACCAGAGGAGACCCGAGGAGAAGUGACUGUAGCUCUUGACUUCUGAGUUCUUGGCUGCCACCCCAACCCCUCCUCCCCCAGGCAAAAGCUCCUUCUUCUUGGACAUGCUGGUUAUUUCCUCAUGUUUCAGCCCCUUGCCGCGGCCGGUGCUCAGGAUGAAAUGAAGGUCUCUGGGGAUGGAGAGGUUCAGGCCAGGAUCCUCAGGCUGCCCACUUCUCAUUCCUCUCUUCUCCCCUGCCACAGAUGCCUCCCCUUGAGGAAACAAGCAUCAACUCAACUUGCAGCAGGAGAAACUGAGGUCCAGAGAGAGAGAGGAAGAGAUCUGGAGCAGAGCAAAGAAAGGCUUUCUGGGUACAGAGUGAAUCAGACUCAUAGCUGGAACAAUCUCUAGAACAACCUACCUUAAUUUACAGAAGGGGAAAUUGAGGCUGAGAAGGGAAAGAAUUAAAGGUCAUCUCGGUCCUUCUAUGCCUUAUUGUGUCAUGGGGGAUGGUAUACUUCUUGAAGGCUGUGCCAUCAGAGAGUAAUUUCAGAGUCAUCUAAGUCCAGUGACAAGACAGAAGACAGAAUGAUUGGUGAUGGCCUGUGAUGCAGUAGAUGACUGUGGCAUCUUCCAUGUCUCACCAAGCUCUAAGCCCUCCACAGUUCCUGCUUCAGCUGCCUUCAUGACUUUUGUUCUCCUCCAUUUAUUUCAAGUCCUCACAGACUUAGGGUAGACAACCCCACUAACUCAUGGAUGAGUUUGUGGUUCAUCAAUAACCCUGGUUUAGUCCAUCUGCUGAGAUGCUUUACUGGGGUGCAACUGCUGAGUAUGCUACACCUUCUUGGUGCCACAGGUGAGAGUAUAUUAGUGGUAGUGGGUAGUGGGAACAGCAGUUGUAAGUAGCAUCUUAGAGUUGUUUCAAGAGACCAGGGCUCAACUGGGAAGACCAUCUAACAAAACAAGUUCUGGCCAUGUUACUGCCUACGUUGGACACUUUUUGGUGCUUCCUAUGCAUCAGGAAUGAAAUAUAAGCUCUUCUUCUCAUAUCUGACACUAUCUGUGGGACCCCAAGUCAAUAACUUAAACUCUUUGGGACUCAGUUUUUUCAUUUGUAAAAUGAGGGGAUUGGAUCAGAUCAACUUCAAGUCCUUUUGGAGCUCAAGUCCUUUCCAAUUUGAAUAUAGUUGGUUUUUCCAAUCUUGUGCAUUCCUACUCAAGCUCCCUACAUGCCAACCAAGCUGAACUUACAGACAUUUCUCCAAACUCAUUGUGCUAUCACAGAAUUACAGAAUUUGCCUGGGGGAAAUGGACCUCAGACACCAUCUAGUCUGACCCAGAAUCUCCAAAGAAUAUCCUUUAUAACAGAGCCAAGGGGUUAUUAAGCCUUGGCUUGAAGACACCAUUGAAGGGGAGUUCACUACCUCCCUAGGCAAUCAUUCAAUUUCUGGAUUGCUGUAAUGACUGGGAAAGUAUUGCUUCCAUGGUUCUGAACUUUUCCUCUUUGUAACUUCCACCCAGUUCAUUUGGUUUUGCCCCUGGGGCCAAGAAGAACAAAGAGAAUCCUUCUUCUACAUGCCAACUCUUCAGAUAGUUGAAGCCAGCCAGCUCUCAGAUUAUCCUAAAAGCAAUAAGAGCUAUUAAAGAGAGUGAAGGGUUGAUGUGGUCAGAUUAAUGUUUUAGGAAUAUUGAAGGAAGAAAUGGGGUAUAGUGGAGAGAGCACUGGUUUUAGAGUCAUAGGAUCUGGGUUCAAAUUCCACCUUUGAUAUUUACUACUUAUUUUGGGUAAGUCUUUCAUGAACCUCAAUUUCCUCAUCUAUAAAAUGGGAGGAGAGAGUGUUAGACUAGAUGGCCACUAAGGUCCCUGCAAGUUCUAGACAGAUAACUCUGGGAUCUUUCAUUAUGGUCUUCUCCUGACUCUACACAUUUGAGGUAUAACUCCCUCACCUGGAAGGCAUUCCCUCUUCACCUUUGGCUAUUCAAAUUCUUUUCCUUCAAUGACCAGCUCUGACAUCUUCUUAGGGAAAUCUUCCCUGAUCCCUCACUAAAAGACAUCUGUGUUUCCUCUAAUCUUCCCAUGGUGCUUUGUCUAGCUCUCGCUUUUUAUCCAUCACCAUCCACCUUAUAUCAUAUUUAUUUGUGGACUUAUUAUAUUCCCCACUAGACCAUAAGCUUCUUGAGGUCAGGGGCUGGCAUUUUUCAUCGUUAGAGCCACAUCAUUGAGCAAGGGAUUUAGCUUGUAGAAGGAAGUUAGUAAACUCAGUUACAUGAUAAUAAUGGCUCCUAUUUGUGUGGCUCUUUAAGGAUGAUAAAGCACUUUUUACCCUCAUAACAAGCCUGUGAGGACAAGUAUCAUCAUCUUAAUGUUACAGAUGAAGAACAGUUCUGAGAAAUGCCUGGGGUCACUCCCUUGCAAGUGUCAGGCAAGGCUUCAGCACCAAGGUCAGUGGUUCUUUCCAGGCUGCCAUAACUCCUUGAACCUUAGCCAAGCGGACUCAAGCUCAGUAUGUGGGCCAAAUGGGUACCACAGCUCUUUGAGAGUCCCUUCUGCCCCAGCCCAUCCCAGAAGGAAGAGAUGGGCAGGAGCCCUGGGGGUGACCCUGUCUAAAAAUAAACCUCCUUUCCUUCCUUCUCCAUUUUUUGGUCUCUUUCACAUAAAUGGCAUAAUUAGGGGGAUUCAACAUUCUGCUGCUGAAAUCUUCAUUUUCUAGGGUAAUUUCCACCAUUUCAUCAAGGAAUAAUUAAUUGCAUUGUCUCUAAUCAAUUGUUUGACAAAUUCAGCAGCAGGAGGAAUUCUCCCACAAUCUCAGCAGCUGCUCUCCCUGGGGUGCUUUGCAGCUCCAGUGGGGAGGAGUCAGCUACGAACUUAUCAGGGGCAUGCAUCACCCUCUUCCUCCUUCCCUCAAGCCUAGGGAAUAGGGUAGAGGAUACAUCUGGGGCCAGAGAUCAGAGGAUAACAGAAUCUCAGAAGUGGAAGAGAUUGGUAAUAGCAUCUGUUUCCAAACGUGACUCCCUACUGCUGUAACAAUAACUUUGGGGUGACUUCUCUGAUGGCUGGCAAGUUUUCCCUCGAAAAGAACACGAAUAUGCCUCUAUGACUUCCACCCAUUGGCUUUUGUUGUGUCUUGUGGGGCUAAGCAGAACAACUACCUAAUUGCUUUCCCAUAUGACAAGCCUCCACGGAGAACAGUCGUCUUUUGUGAACUGUGGGGGUGACCUAUGUGUUGAGUUGCUUUGUUCUGAUAUUUGAGGUCAUCAGCUUUAGAGCUAGAAGGGAGUUAGGGUUUAAUUAAUCUAACACUUUUGUUUUACUGACAAGACCCACAGAGAUUAGAUGGUUUGCUUGAGAUGGCACCACUAAAAAAUAGCAAAGCUGGGUCUAUGCCUAUGUAUCCCCAGCAUGGGAGAAGCAGGACUGUGUAGUAUAGACAAUGUGAGCUCCUUAAGGAUGGGGACUGUUUCAUUUCUUUUCUGUAUGCCUCAAGGAAUAUCUAGGUGGGAUAGUAGAUAGAGCACUGGGCUUGCAAUCAGGAAGACUCACCUUCAUGAGUUCAAAUUUGACCUCAGAUACUUAGUAGCUGUGUGCUCCUGGACAAGUCAUUUGACUCUAUUAGUUUAAGUUUCCUCAUGUGAAAAAUGAGCUGGAGAAGGGAAUGGCAAGCCACUCCAGUAUCUUUGCCAAGAAAACUCAAGAUGGGGUCAUGACUGAACAGUAACAAUCCCCUAAAGUCUUUGUAUCCUCAGUGCCUAGCAUAGUGCUUUGCGCUAACAAAUGUUUGAUUGCUUGAGCCUUGGUUUGAGAGUAACACUGGGACUUGAAUCUUUAGCCUCUGAACUCACUGUUGUUUAUAUGACAUUAGGCAAGUAACUCAAAGUUUCAAUGCUCCAGGCAACUGUCUUAAGACUUGUC
Non-coding RNA from Monodelphis domestica (gray short-tailed opossum), 4212 nucleotides. The record is from RefSeq and is a predicted model, not a curated record. Lineage: Eukaryota; Metazoa; Chordata; Mammalia; Didelphimorphia; Didelphidae.